UGAAUACGAGAUGCUACGGCGUCGAAGCAGUGUAUGUCAUACUUCCAAGAAAAGCUCGCUAUGUCAUAAACAAUUAAUGCCUGUACCGUAACCGACACAGGUGGGUAGGUAGAGUAUACUAAGGGGCGCGAGAUAACUCUCUCUAAGGAACUCGGCAAAAUGACUCCGUAACUUCGGGAGAAGGAGUACCUUAUUUAUAAGGUUGCAAUAACAAGAUCCAAGCAACUGUUUACCAAAAACACAGGUCUCCGCUAAGUCGUAAGACGAUGUAUGGGGGCUGACGCCUGCCCAGUGCCAGAAGGUUAAAGAAGUUGGUUAGCAUUCGCGAAGCUGAUGACUGAAGCCCUGGUGAACGGCGGCCGUAACUAUAACGGUCCUAAGGUAGCGAAAUUCCUUGUCGGGUAAGUUCCGACCCGCACGAAAGGCGUAAUGAUUUGGAUACUGUCUCGGAGAGGGGCUCGGUGAAAUAGACUUGUCUGUGAAGAUGCGGACUACCUGCACCUGGACAGAAAGACCCUAUGAAGCUUUACUGUAACUUGAGAUUGAAAUUGGACUUUAUUUGUGCAGUAUAGGUGGGAGGCGUUGAAGAAAUUCUUGCGGGAAUUUUGGAGCCAUCAGUGAGAUACCACCCCUAUAAUGUUAGAUUUCUAACUUUGUAUCAUUAUCUGGUCAAAGAACAGUUUCAGGCGGGCAGUUUGACUGGGGCGGUCGCCUCCCAAAUGGUAACGGAGGCGUACAAAGGUUUCCUCUGAACGGGUAGAAAUCGUAUCUAGAGUAUAAAGGCAUAAGGAAGCUUGACUGUGAGACCUACAAGUCGAGCAGGGACGAAAGUCGGUCUUAGUGAUCUGACGGUGCUGAGUGGAAAGGCCGACACUCAACGGAUAAAAGUUACUCUAGGAUAACAGGCUGAUCUCCCCCAAGAGUUCACAUCGACGGGGAGGUUUGGCACCUCGAUGUCGGCUCAUCGCAUCCUGGGGCGGUAGUACGUCCCAAGGGUUGGGCUGUUCGCCCAUGAAAGCGGUACGCGAGCUGGGUUCAGAACGUCGUGAGACAGUUCGGUCCAUAUCCGGUGUAGGCGUUAGAAUAUUGAGAGGAGCCUUCUUUAGUACGAGAGGACCGAGAAGGACAUACCUCUGGUGUACCAGUUAUCGUGCCAACGGUAAACGCUGGGUAGCUAUGUAUGGAGUGGAUAACCGCUGAAAGCAUCUAAGUGGGAAGCCCACCUCAAGAUAAGUAUUCUCAUC
RNAcentral lists this ribosomal RNA (1244 nucleotides) under metagenome. RNAcentral's name for it is "bacterial LSU rRNA". It matches the Rfam family "Bacterial large subunit ribosomal RNA", at positions 1564 to 2818 of the family's 2925-position model. The record is from RNAcentral.